ACACCAAAGUUUUAUUUUUAGUACCGGUAUCCAAUCAAAAUGUGCCAGGCGCAAUGUCAAAUUAUUUCACAUAAUUUAACAACAAGCUAAAUAUAGUUACAAUCACUAUUUAAUCUAUCAUUAUUUAAUUAUAUAUAGCACUAACCAAAAUAUAAAAAAAAUACAUUAAAUAUGGCAUGAAUACUCAUGCUAGAAGUAGCCGGCAAUCAGAGUUACAACCAUAAAGGCAGUUGUAGGACACAAACAUUUAAUAACAUGUGACUUUAUCAGGUCUUCAUUUUUCUUUGCCCGCCAGCUGUGAGAAAAAUGAAGGUCUGCAUGGGCACAGGUUAUAUAAAUCCCAUGUAAACAGAGAUGAAAUUUGCCUCAGUAAAGCAAGCUGUCAAGUUUGGUAAUGGGGCUGGUUUGCCUCCAGACAAACAAAUCUCUGUAAAUACUGUAAAAUGUCUAAAAUGUCAAACUACCUCAUCCCCCCACCCCCCUCACAACCCCCCUCCUGGUAUGAACAGCAGUAUCAAAUAGACACAAACUUUAAUUAUUAUGUUAUAAAUACAUACAAAUCUACAUUAACUGUGGAGCCAAUUUUCCACUUUAUGCACUUCUUGAACUGAACAAUUAACAAUGUACUACAAUGUAAAAUAUACAUAAAUUCCACUUACUUUAGAGC
Paramuricea clavata is the source of this 667-nucleotide non-coding RNA. The record is from the annotation of a GenBank genome assembly. Lineage: Eukaryota; Metazoa; Cnidaria; Anthozoa; Malacalcyonacea; Plexauridae.